RNAcentral lists this ribosomal RNA (271 nucleotides) under uncultured soil bacterium. RNAcentral's name for it is "partial 16S ribosomal RNA". It matches the Rfam family "Bacterial small subunit ribosomal RNA", at positions 27 to 301 of the family's 1533-position model. The record is from RNAcentral.
GGGACGAACGCUGGCGGCGUGCUUAACACAUGCAAGUCGAGCGGAAAGGCCCUUCGGGGUACUCGAGCGGCGAACGGGUGAGUAACACGUGAGUAAUCUGCCCAUCGCUUCAGGAUAGCCAUCGGAAACGGUGAUUAAUACUGGAUAUGACAUUCCUUCGCAUGUUGGGGUGUGGAAAGUUUUUUCGGCGGUGGAUGUGCUCGCGGCCUAUCAGCUUGUUGGUGGGGUAAUGGCCUACCAAGGCUUUGACGGGUAGCCGGCCUGAGAGGGU